RNAcentral lists this ribosomal RNA (23 nucleotides) under Coprinopsis pseudonivea. RNAcentral's name for it is "partial 18S ribosomal RNA". The record is from RNAcentral. Lineage: Eukaryota; Fungi; Basidiomycota; Agaricomycetes; Agaricales; Psathyrellaceae.
GGUUGUAGCUGGCUCUCCGGAGU